GCUAAUAAUGGAAGCAAUUUGUAACUUUCAGUAGCUCUCAGGGCCCGGGUACGCGAGGGAGGGAGGCGGGUGGAGGUGGGGAAAUGGGUGCCCCCAGUCUUUCCACUCUCUGCAUUCGUACAGGGCGCCGGGAUCCCCUAAUCCUCCCUUCUCCCAACAAGCAGGCUCUAGCAGGGUCCCGCGCCCACUUCUGUCCCGCGGCCGCCGUUCCAGAGCAAGAGAGCGUCCCAGCCAGACUCUCCGCUCCCCAGCUGCCAGGAGCGGCCAGGGGGGAAUGUGAGCCGAGUAAGGUCAUCAGAGCCUUAAGAUGUGGGGUCCGUUCUCUUUUAUGUGAGCUGAACCGGAUGCGCCUGAGACUGAGCUUGGACCGUGCCCUUGAAGAGAAAUCCCUAACAGAGGGCAAAGCAACCAGCAGUAGGAAAGGAACCCAAGUUCCCGACUGGCCACGUGGAGCAGGACCACCUGUCAUUGGGGCUGCUCCCUCCCAGAUCGUUAUGUGAGAAAUAAAUUUGUUUUCUA
Sus scrofa (pig) is the source of this 519-nucleotide non-coding RNA. NCBI's taxonomy places the organism in Eukaryota, Metazoa, Chordata, Mammalia, Artiodactyla, Suidae. The record is from RefSeq and is a predicted model, not a curated record.